AGAGCGAACGCUGGCGGCAGGCUUAACACAUGCAAGUCGAGCGCCCCGCAAGGGGAGCGGCAGACGGGAGAGUAACACGUGGGAACGUACCUUUCGGUUCGGAACAACCCAGGGAAACUUGGGCUAAUACCGGAUACGUCCGUAAGGAGAAAGAUUUAUCGCCGAAAGAUCGGCCCGCGUCUGAUUAGCUAGUUGGUGAGGUAACGGCUCACCAAGGCGACGAUCAGUAGCUGGUCUGAGAGGAUGAUCAGCCUCACUGGGACUGAGACACGGCCCAGACUCCUACGGGAGGCAGCAGUGGGGAAUAUUGGACAAUGGGCGCAAGCCUGAUCCAGCCAUGCCGCGUGGUGAUGAAGGCCCUAGGGUUGUAAAGCCCGUUUCGGCGGGGAAGAUAAGUGACGGUACCCGCAGAAGAGCCCCGGCUAACUUCGUGCCAGCAGCCGC
This 444-nucleotide ribosomal RNA is filed under the name uncultured bacterium. RNAcentral's name for it is "SSU rRNA". It matches the Rfam family "Bacterial small subunit ribosomal RNA", at positions 26 to 518 of the family's 1533-position model. The record is from RNAcentral.